CCUACGGGAGGCAGCAGUGAGGAAUAUUGGUCAAUGGGCGAGAGCCUGAACCAGCCAAGUCGCGUGAGGGAGGACUGCCCUAUGGGUUGUAAACCUCGUUUGUCGGGGAGCAAAAGCCGGACGUGGACGGCUGUGAGAGUAGCCGAAGAAAAAGCAACGGCGAACGCCGUGCCAGCAGCCGCGGUAAUACGGAGGAUGCGAGCGUUAGCCGGUUUUAUUGGGUUUAACGGGUGCGCAGGCGGAUUUUUAAGUAAGCGGUCAAAUCGUGGGGCUCAACCCCAUCCAGCCGUUGAAACUGGGGAUCUAGAGUGUGCGAGAGGUAUGCGGAAUGCGUGGUGUAGCGGUGAAAUGCCUAGAUAUCACGCAGAACCCCGAUUGCGAAGGCAGCUUACCGGUGCACAACUGACGCUCAGGCACGAAAGCGUGGGUAUCGAACAGGAUUAGAUACCCCGGUAGUC
Molecule: ribosomal RNA, 458 nt
Filed under: uncultured bacterium
Lineage: Bacteria
Description: partial 16S ribosomal RNA
Rfam family: Bacterial small subunit ribosomal RNA
Source: RNAcentral